UGAUUUUUUUCUUCAAUUUUAAAAGGCCCAUCUCAAGCACCGACCUGAUAGAAAGGGCAAUAAACGCCAGAAAACAAAAACAAAAAAAUAAGUAAAUGAUCCAUUGAAGCAAAAAAGACCUUUAGUAGCAUUCUUUCUGUUCAUAUCAGAUGUUAAGAAGAAGGGGACGACUGGAAACAUAAUCAAGGCCGGGCAUUGCACUGGAUGACAGAAAAACAAACAAGUACGUCUCUAAGAAUCCUGAAAUUUGGGACAUGCUGUCUUCAGAAUCCUGUUGGUCAACCGUUACUACGUGAACCACCUAGAGACUUGGGAGGAUUAUAUGAAGGGGACGACGCAAGAUCAAAUUUGUCUCAGACACAUUUGAAAGUAUAAUGCGGCAGAUGCGACCGGCCAUGGAUCUUUGAAUGGAAUAGAGAUUUGAGACCUUUCUGACAAUUCCGGGAAAUGAGAGACAUGUAGGGAGACGCAAAAAACAAUGGUCGAUGGUGAUGGUUACGAGAUAUGCAAAGAUAAUGGUGAAUGGAAUUGAUCGAGGGUGAACUAAAAAUUUCUUACUUCAUUUUCGUUUUGUUGUUUUUCUUUCAUUUCCAAUUACUGGUAAUUUGAUCUUCUUCUUGCAGGUGCAAGUGGAAUUGGUUUGUAGACGUAAAAAUGGACUGAAAAGACAUGUAUAUGGUGUGUUCGCCUACAAGUGCAACGAAGUUAUUAGAGAUUUUCUACAAAAUCCAUAAUCAUAGUUAGUUUUUGGGUGUUGUGGCCUGUAUGUAAUUUAAGCAAAACGUUUUUCUGUGUUCAUACGUUCAGUUGAUUGUAUUCCUAAAGCUUUUGUGGACUCCAAAAUGUGGUGUUUUUGGAGUUGGGAGGGAUAGGUGAAUACUUUGUUUUACUAUGAAUAUUGUGAACCCUAUUUUUUUUUU
Molecule: long non-coding RNA, 920 nt
Organism: Papaver somniferum (opium poppy)
Lineage: Eukaryota; Viridiplantae; Streptophyta; Magnoliopsida; Ranunculales; Papaveraceae
Exons: 3
Source: RefSeq, a predicted model, not a curated record